Molecule: ribosomal RNA, 583 nt
Filed under: Pleurotus pulmonarius
Lineage: Eukaryota; Fungi; Basidiomycota; Agaricomycetes; Agaricales; Pleurotaceae
Description: partial small subunit ribosomal RNA
Rfam family: Bacterial small subunit ribosomal RNA
Source: RNAcentral
GAAUAUUAGUCAAUGCUCGAAAGGAUGAACUAGCUAACUGAAAUCACAUGACUCAUUCUUAUAGGUGGUGAAUGUGAUAAGGUGUAGGGAAAAAAAUGAUAUUACCUCACUAAAAGUGUUGUCCAAAUCUGGUGCCAGAAGACUCGGUAAGACCAGAAACGCAAACGUUAGUCAUCUUAAUCAGGCGUAAAGGGUAUGUAGGCAGCUUUGAAAAUUUUAAUUUUAAUAAUUUUUGUUCUAAAAUGAUUAGCUCUAUUUAUUAAAUUAAAUAGUAAAAAUAAAAUCAAUUAAAGCUAGAAUCUAAUAGAGGAAAAACCAAAUAAUACUUAGAGUAGGGAUGAUAUCCAUAGAUACUAAGGGGAAUACUAAGGGCGAAAGCUUUUUUUCUAUUAAAGAUUGACGCUGAGAAACGAAGGUGAGAAUAGGAAAUAGGAUUAGAUACCCAGAUACCUCUCACUGUCAACGAUGAAUGGUGGUUGUUAGUUUUAAUAAAAACUGAUGGCGAUGUUAACACGAUAACCAUUCCGCCUUGCGAGUACGGUUGCAAAACUGAACCAAAAAAAUUAGUCGGUCUCGAAGCAAA